Molecule: ribosomal RNA, 257 nt
Filed under: uncultured bacterium
Lineage: Bacteria
Description: partial 16S ribosomal RNA
Rfam family: Bacterial small subunit ribosomal RNA
Source: RNAcentral
GAGUUGCAAUAUGGUAACAUGGAGCGAAUCUCAAAAAGAUAGUCUCAGUUCGGACUGUGGGCUGCAACCCGCCCACACGAAGUCGGAGUUGCUAGUAAUCGUAGGUCAGCAUACUACGGUGAAUACGUUCCCGGGCCUUGUACACACCGCCCGUCAAACCAUGAGAGUUGGCAACACCCGAAGUCGGUAGUCUAACCGCAAGGAGGACGCCGCCGAAGGUGGGGUUGAUGAUUAGGGUUAAGUCGUAACAAGGUAUC